GACGAACGCUGGCGGCGUGCUUAACACAUGCAAGUCGAACGGUUAAGCGCCUUCCUUUUUGGUGGGUGUGGAUGAGUGGCGAACGGGUGAGUAACACGUGAGUAACCUGCCCCCUUCUUCUGGAUAACCGCAUGAAAGUGUGGCUAAUACGGGAUAUUCUGUGUCUGUCGCAUGAUGGGUCUGGGAAAGAUAUUGUUUCGGUGGGGGAUGGGCUCGCGGCCUAUCAGCUUGUUGGUGAGGUGAUGGCCUACCAAGGCGGUGACGGGUAGCCGGCCUGAGAGGGUGGACGGUCACACUGGGACUGAGACACGGCCCAGACUCCUACGGGAGGCAGCAGUGGGGAAUAUUGCACAAUGGGCGCAAGCCUGAUGCAGCGACGCCGCGUGAGGGAUGGAGGCCUUCGGGUUGUGAACCUCUUUCGCCAGUGAAGCAGGCCUGCCUCGUUUGUGGGUGGGUUGACGGUAGCUGGAUAAGAAGCGCCGGCUAACUACGUG
RNAcentral lists this ribosomal RNA (494 nucleotides) under uncultured bacterium. RNAcentral describes it as "partial 16S ribosomal RNA". It matches the Rfam family "Bacterial small subunit ribosomal RNA", at positions 28 to 507 of the family's 1533-position model. The record is from RNAcentral.